GCACUGCUGAUGAGUUUCACAAUAGGACGAAACGGUUGUCCAGUGC
Non-coding RNA from Schistosoma rodhaini, 46 nucleotides. Lineage: Eukaryota; Metazoa; Platyhelminthes; Trematoda; Strigeidida; Schistosomatidae. The record is from Rfam.